UGAAAAGCGAAGAAGAUGCAUAGUAGAAAAGUAAGACCCAAUAGAGAGAAGGUAUCACCGGCUGCAAGUACCUUUUGGCAAUCUUAUUUUUUGAAUUUCACAUUGGAGCUUUAUCUUUGAAAUGAUUAAAAGUAGAAGAUAACGGUGGCAACGUUAGAGCUAAUUGAGUGUUUAUACCUUUGGUAUAAAAAUUUGGGUGGUAUCGCGGAGACUAUAAGCUUCGUCCCUUUU
This 231-nucleotide non-coding RNA is filed under the name Cellulosilyticum lentocellum. RNAcentral's name for it is "Clostridium lentocellum T-box sequence". It matches the Rfam family "T-box leader". Rfam says of the family: Uncharged tRNA acts as the effector for transcription antitermination of genes in the T-box leader family. T-boxes are found upstream of many aminoacyl-tRNA synthetase genes and some amino acid biosynthetic genes usually in Gram-positive bacteria. The anticodon of a specific tRNA base pairs to a specifier sequence within the T-box motif, and the NCCA acceptor tail of the tRNA base pairs to a conserved bulge in the T-box antiterminator hairpin. Lineage: Bacteria; Bacillati; Bacillota; Clostridia; Lachnospirales; Cellulosilyticaceae. The record is from RNAcentral.